UGCUUAUUGGGAAUUUAUAAUAAGUAAUUUCUGCCUACUGCAAUUUUGUAAAGGGCUGCAGUAUUUUGACUGUAUAAAGGUAGCAUAAUCAUUAGCUUUUUAAUUGGGGGCUGGUAUGAACGGGGGGCCGAGGGAACAGUGUGUUUAUAGGGAGAGGUUGAAUUUUAUGGUUUUGUGAAAAAUCAAAAGUAAACUUAAGGGACAAGAAGACCCUAUUUAAGUUUAAUUAAUAAUUAAAGAAAACAUAAAGGAGUACUAUUUUAAGUUAUUAGUGUGAUUUAUAAUUGUUUGUUUAGCUGGGGCGGUGAGUUGAAAGGAACAUAACGGUAAUUUUAAUAGGAGUGUUUGGGCGAGUUGAGGACCUGGUUAGGCCAAUUAAAUGGAUAAUUACUUUAGGGAUAACAGCGUUAUUAUUUUUAAGAGUUCUAAUUGACAGAAUAGUUUGCGACCUCGAUGUUGGAUUAGGAUUAGCGUUGGUGCAGUAGUCGGCGUGUU
Molecule: ribosomal RNA, 495 nt
Filed under: Tylopus crassipes
Lineage: Eukaryota; Metazoa; Arthropoda; Diplopoda; Polydesmida; Paradoxosomatidae
Description: partial large subunit ribosomal RNA
Source: RNAcentral